This 628-nucleotide ribosomal RNA is filed under the name uncultured bacterium. RNAcentral's name for it is "bacterial SSU rRNA". It matches the Rfam family "Bacterial small subunit ribosomal RNA", at positions 91 to 717 of the family's 1533-position model. The record is from RNAcentral.
GAGACCGGCGCACGGGUGCGUAACACGUAUGCAACCUACCCUUUACUGGGGCAUAGCUCAGAGAAAUCUGAAUUAAUUCCCCAUAAUACAAUUGAAUGGCAUCAUUUAAUUAUUAAAGCUGAGGCGGUAAAGGAUGGGCAUGCGUUGCAUUAGCUAGUUGGUGAGGUAAUGGCUCACCAAGGCUACGAUGCAUAGGGGUUCUGAGAGGAUGAUCCCCCACACUGGUACUGAGACACGGACCAGACUCCUACGGGAGGCAGCAGUAGGGAAUAUUGGUCAAUGGACGCAAGUCUGAACCAGCCAUGCCGCGUGCAGGAAGACGGCCCUCUGGGUUGUAAACUGCUUUUAUAUGGGAAGAAACCUCAUUAUGCGUAAUAAACUGACGGUACCAUAUGAAUAAGGAUCGGCCAACUUCGUGCCAGCAGCCGCGGUAAUACGAAGGAUCCAAGCGUUGUCCGGAUUUACUGGGUUUAAAGGGUGCGUAGGCGGACUUAUAAGUCAGUGGUGAAAGCCUUCAGCUUAACUGAAGAACUGCCAUUGAAACUGUGAGUCUCGAGUUCGGUUGAGGUCGUUGGAAUGUAACAUGUAGCGGUGAAAUGCAUAGAUAUGUUACAGAACACCAAUUGCG